AUAUUUAAGUGGUGCUUCAGGGAAAAGGCCUUGGCAUCCGAAAUGACUUUAGAAAUGGUUAAGCUUCUAUGGGUGUAUUUGCUACAAUAAUCCAUUGAAACAACAGUAAUCUAAAAAUAGCUUUGUUUUCUGUCCUAAGCUCCUUUUAACUUCGUUAGUCAUCACCAAUUCUUAAAAUAAAAUCCGUGUAACAGUCUCUCCUAGUAGCAGCUAUAAACAAACUUCAAGAAGCAGGGAGAAGGAGGAGGAGGAGAGGAAAAAGGGAAGAGGAGGGAGCAGUGGUCCUGGGAAGAGGAGAAAGAAUACUCUUCUCGGAAUGGCAGUGAAAGGCCCAGGCGGAGGCCCAGGCUUGGUGCAAAGGCAGGAUCGUCUGUAAGUGAGGCCUGUACACUGGACUGGAAACCAGGCGGUCAAGGUUAGCUGGCUGUGGAGCUUGAAGCGCCGCCGCUGCUGCUGCCGCCGCCGCUGCCGCUGCCGCUGCUGCUGCUGCUGCCGCCGCUGCCGCCGACUUCGAAAACUCCCUCUGACUUGGACCUAUGCCACCGUGGUCCCGGCAACGGCAUUAAACAGAAGGAAACAGACUGGGGAUUCCGUCAUUUCAAGAGGAGGAGAGAGAGGGAGAAAGGAAAGCAUUGAGAGCAGACAGGAAAAGAAAGUUUUUUUUUUUUUUUUUUUUGAAAAAUUAUUAUUUAUUAAUUUUUUUAACACCAAAAACAAUAAAAACCUCAACAAAGCAGCUCUCACCCUUCCAAUAUCUGCUUACCCUCUAGCCUCUUCUAACAACAGAAGGGUGGGCAAACUGUGGGAGUUGAACAGAGAGGAGAGAGAACGGGAAGGAAGAUGGAAACUCUCCAUACAAUGUCAUUCAAACCAUUCUCUACUGUCACUAAGACUUACUGACAAACAGCAGAAAAUCCCUGUGGAUUUAAUGUUUAGGGGAGGGUGGUUAAGGUUUUGCUGUCCUGCUGCCCCCUAGCGGCUUAUUCCAUUUGGCCACCUUACGGAUUUGCCUGCCUCCUGGUAGCAUUAAAUCUUUCCAUUGGCUGUUCUGCCAAAGAUGAAGUGUACAAACUGCUCUUCAUUAGAGAGGAGGAUGAUAUUUACAUCUGAUAUGAAUUGAUUAUAUUUAUUAAGUUUUAAAUUGUAUGACGCAUUCCAUAAACAAAAAUAAAAUCAAUAUAGAUGAAC
Molecule: long non-coding RNA, 1188 nt
Organism: Antechinus flavipes (yellow-footed antechinus)
Lineage: Eukaryota; Metazoa; Chordata; Mammalia; Dasyuromorphia; Dasyuridae
Exons: 2
Source: RefSeq, a predicted model, not a curated record